UGAGUUUGAUCCUGGCUCAGGACGAACGCUGGCGGCGUGCUUAACACAUGCAAGUCGAGCGGUAUGGCCCUUUCGGGGGUACACGAGCGGCGAACGGGUGAGUAACACGUGGGCGACCUGCCCUCAGCUCUGGGAUAAGCCUGGGAAACUGGGUCUAAUACCGGAUAUGACCACAUGUCGCAUGGUGUGUGGUGGAAAGUUUUUUCGGCUGGGGAUGGGCCCGCGGCCUAUCAGCUUGUUGGUGGGGUGAUGGCCUACCAAGGCGACGACGGGUAGCCGGCCUGAGAGGGCGACCGGCCACACUGGGACUGAGAUACGGCCCAGACUCCUACGGGAGGCAGCAGUGGGGAAUAUUGCGCAAUGGGCGAAACCCUGACGCAGCAACGCCGCGUGGAGGAUG
Molecule: ribosomal RNA, 400 nt
Filed under: uncultured Pseudonocardia sp.
Lineage: Bacteria; Bacillati; Actinomycetota; Actinomycetes; Pseudonocardiales; Pseudonocardiaceae
Description: bacterial SSU rRNA
Rfam family: Bacterial small subunit ribosomal RNA
Source: RNAcentral